CCUACGGGCGGCAGCAGUGAGGAAUAUUGGUCAAUGGACGAGAGUCUGAACCAGCCAAGUAGCGUGAAGGAUGACUGCCCUAUGGGUUGUAAACUUCUUUUAUAUGGGAAUAAAAUGUUCCACGUGUGGGAUUUUGUAUGUACCAUAUGAAUAAGGAUCGGCUAACUCCGUGCCAGCAGCCGCGGUAAUACGGAGGAUCCGAGCGUUAUCCGGAUUUAUUGGGUUUAAAGGGAGCGUAGGUGGAUUGUUAAGUCAGUUGUGAAAGUUUGCGGCUCAACCGUAAAAUUGCAGUUGAAACUGGCAGUCUUGAGUACAGUAGAGGUGGGCGGAAUUCGUGGUGUAGCGGUGAAAUGCUUAGAUAUCACGAAGAACUCCGAUUGCGAAGGCAGUUCACUAGACUGCAACUGACACUGAGGCUCGAAAGUGUGGGUAUCAAACAGGAUUAGAUACCCCUGUAGUC
Molecule: ribosomal RNA, 460 nt
Filed under: uncultured bacterium
Lineage: Bacteria
Description: partial 16S ribosomal RNA
Rfam family: Bacterial small subunit ribosomal RNA
Source: RNAcentral